UCUUUAGUAAUUGCGAAUGAACAAGGAUAUGCUUAGCUUGACAAAUGGAGCUAUUGGCUUUGAAUUGUAUUGUGGAAAUGUAUUACCAACAGAGGUGCAGGUGCCAGCCUAUUGAAAUAAAGCGUCAAUGAGGGUGAGAAUCCUGUUUGUCAUGUGCAGCCCUUUGUGCACGGUGUAUAUUUGCUGAGUCACACUCCUUGGCAUUGGAAUGCGGGUGGUAAGUUUCAUGUAAAGGUAAACAUGCAAUUGAGACUGAUAGCACACAAGUACCAUGAGGGAAAUAUGAAAAGGACUUUGAAAAAGAAUUAAAUGAUUUGUAUUUGCUGAACACAAAGUAAACAGACUUGAUUUGCUUGGUGGGAGUGUUGCACUUGCUUGACAAGAGCUUUGGGCUGUGGGUGUAAUGAUUCUUUCUUUGCAUGCCAGUUUCUAUUUGUACAUCUGAUUACCUUUGCACAUGAAUGAUAAGUCUCCUGUGGGGGGUGGAUUGCAUGUGCAUGUAAUGAUUUGUGUUUUGAUAAAUGUGUCUGGUGUAUGUGUGUGUUCCUGUGCUUGGGGAUGCUUCCUUCCUUGGACUUACAAGCCCUGACACACACAUGCUGGCAAAAUGCUUCUGCUUGACCCGUCUUGAAACACGGACCAAGGAGUCUAACAGAUGUGCACAGUUUGAAGGUGGUAUACCUUUGUGUGCAAUGAAAGUGUCACUGGGAUAUGUGCACCAGCACCUUAAUUGGACAGAGGUUUGAGUUAGCAUAUCUAUCCUGGUGAACUAUGCCUGAACAGAAUGAUUUCAGAGGAAACU
This 802-nucleotide ribosomal RNA is filed under the name Alexandrium catenella. Its description in RNAcentral is "partial large subunit ribosomal RNA". It matches the Rfam family "Eukaryotic large subunit ribosomal RNA", at positions 77 to 863 of the family's 3401-position model. The record is from RNAcentral. Lineage: Eukaryota; Dinophyceae; Gonyaulacales; Pyrocystaceae.